This 279-nucleotide ribosomal RNA is filed under the name uncultured bacterium. RNAcentral's name for it is "partial 16S ribosomal RNA". It matches the Rfam family "Bacterial small subunit ribosomal RNA", at positions 506 to 784 of the family's 1533-position model. The record is from RNAcentral.
UGCCAGCCGCCGCGGUAAUACGGAGGGUGCAAGCGUUGUUCGGAAUUAUUGGGCGUAAAGCGCGUGUAGGCGGUUCGUUAAGUCUGAUGUGAAAGCCCGGGGCUCAACCCCGGAAGUGCAUUGGAAACUGGCGAACUUGAGUACGGGAGAGGAAAGUGGAAUUCCGAGUGUGGAGGUGAAAUUCGUAGAUAUUCGGAAGAACACCAGUGGCGAAGGCAUCUCUCUGGGCCGAUAUUGACGCUGAGGAACGAAAGCCAGGGGAGCGAAUGGGAUUAGAUA